UUGUUUCAGAAGCACAUAUGCCAAAAUUGAAACAACACAAGAAGAUAAGCAUGGCCCCUGCACAAGGAUGGCAUGCAACUUCGUGAAAUGUUCCAUAUUUUU
RNAcentral lists this small nuclear RNA (102 nucleotides) under Carlito syrichta (Philippine tarsier). Lineage: Eukaryota; Metazoa; Chordata; Mammalia; Primates; Tarsiidae. The record is from RNAcentral.